UACUCCUACGGGAGGCAGCAGUGGGGAAUCUUGGGCAAUGGGCGAAAGCCUGACCCAGCGACGCCGCGUGGGGGAUGACGGCCUUUGGGUUGUAAACCCCUGUCAGGGGGGACGAAAGCCUUCCGGUGAAUAGCCGGGAGGGUUGACGGUACCCUCAAAGGAAGCACCGGCUAACUCCGUGCCAGCAGCCGCGGUAAUACGGAGGGUGCAAGCGUUGUCCGGAGUCACUGGGCGUAAAGGGCGCGUAGGCGGCUGGGUAAGUCAUGCGUGAAAUUCUGGGGCUCAACCCCGGAACGGCGUGUGGGACUGCCCGGCUAGAGCACAGUAGAGGCGAGUGGAAUUCCAGGUGUAGCGGUGGAAUGCGUAGAUAUCUGGAAGAACACCGGUGGCGAAGGCGGCUCGCUGGGCUGUUGCUGACGCUGAGGCGCGAAAGCGUGGGGAGCAAACAGGAUUAGAUACCCUGGUAGUCCACGCUGUAAACGAUGGGCACUAGGCGUCGGGGGGAGCGACCCCCUCGGUGCCGUCGCUAACGCAAUAAGUGCCCCGCCUGGGGAGUACGGUCGCAAGAUUAAAACUCAAAUGAAUUGACGG
Molecule: ribosomal RNA, 591 nt
Filed under: uncultured Natronoanaerobium sp.
Lineage: Bacteria; Bacillati; Bacillota; Clostridia; Natranaerobiales; Natranaerobiaceae
Description: bacterial SSU rRNA
Rfam family: Bacterial small subunit ribosomal RNA
Source: RNAcentral